This is a non-coding RNA of Ceratotherium simum simum (southern white rhinoceros), 98 nucleotides long. The record is from RefSeq and is a predicted model, not a curated record. NCBI's taxonomy places the organism in Eukaryota, Metazoa, Chordata, Mammalia, Perissodactyla, Rhinocerotidae.
UUUCUCACAGGCUCCAGAGCCAGCCCUGGUGGUCUAGUGGUUAAGAUUCGGGGCUCUCACCACCAAGGUCCAGGUUCCUUUCUAGUCAGGGAACCACA